CAAUAGCGUAUAUUAAAGUUGUUGCGGUUAAAAAGCUCGUAGUUGGAUCUCGGCAGGCAGGGGGUGGUUCGCUCUUAGCGCUACUGCCCCAUCUGCCUGUGUGAUUGGCGGAGGUUUCGGGGUGCUCUUCGUUGAGUGACCCGGGGCGCCGUCAGGUUUACUUUGAAAAAAUUAGAGUGCUCAAAGCAGGCUUUUCACGCUUGAAUAUUCGUGCAUGGAAUAAUGGAAUAGGAACUCGUUUCUAUUUUGUUGGUUUUCGGAAAUCGAGUUAAUGAUUAAUAGGGACAAUUGGGGGCAUUAGUAUUCAGACGACAGAGGUGAAAUUCUUGGACCGUCUGAAGACUAACUACUGCGAAAGCAUUUGCCAAGAGUGUUUUCAUUAA
RNAcentral lists this ribosomal RNA (383 nucleotides) under uncultured eukaryote. RNAcentral's name for it is "partial 18S ribosomal RNA". It matches the Rfam family "Eukaryotic small subunit ribosomal RNA", at positions 592 to 976 of the family's 1831-position model. The record is from RNAcentral.